GGGGAUUGCCUAGUACGGCGAGUGAAGCGGCAACAGCUCAAAUUUGAAAGCUAGCCUUCGGGUUCGCAUUGUAAUUUGUAGAGGAUGAUUUGGGGAAGCCGCCUGUCUAAGUUCCUUGGAACAGGACGUCAUAGAGGGUGAGAAUCCCGUAUGUGACAGGAAAUGGCACCCUAUGUAAAUCUCCUUCGACGAGUCGAGUUGUUUGGGAAUGCAGCUCUAAAUGGGAGGUAAAUUUCUUCUAAAGCUAAAUAUUGGCGAGAGACCGAUAGCGCACAAGUAGAGUGAUCGAAAGAUGAAAAGCACUUUGGAAAGAGAGUUAAAAAGCACGUGAAAUUGUUGAAAGGGAAGCGCUUGCAAUCAGACUUGUUUAAACUGUUCGGCCGGUCUUCUGACCGGUUUACUCAGUUUGGACAGGCCAGCAUCAGUUUCGGCGGCCGGAUAAAGGCUCUGGGAAUGUGGCCUCCACUUCGGUGGAGGUGUUAUAGCCCAGGGUGUAAUACGGCCAGCCGGGACUGAGGUCCGCGCUUCGGCUAGGAUGCUGGCGUAAUGGUUGUAAGCGACCCGUCUUGAAACACGGACCAAAC
Molecule: ribosomal RNA, 584 nt
Filed under: Aureobasidium pullulans
Lineage: Eukaryota; Fungi; Ascomycota; Dothideomycetes; Dothideales; Saccotheciaceae
Description: partial large subunit ribosomal RNA
Rfam family: Eukaryotic large subunit ribosomal RNA
Source: RNAcentral